GGGAGGCAGCAGUGGGGAAUAUUGCACAAUGCCGUGCAAGCCUGAUGCAGCCAUGCCGCGUGUGUGAAGAAGGCCUUCGGGUUGUAAAGCACUUUCAGCGAGGAGGAAGGUGGUGAACUUAAUACGUUCAUCAAUUGACGUUACUCGCAGAAGAAGCACCGGCUAACUCCGUGCCAGCGGCCGCGGUAAUACGGAGGGUGCAAGCGUUAAUCGGAAUUACUGGGCGUAAAGCGCACGCAGGCGGUUUGUUAAGUCAGAUGUGAAAUCCCCGGGCUCAACUUGGGAACUGCAUUUGAAACUGGUAAGCUAGAGUCUCGUAAAGGGGGGUGAAUUUCAAGUGUACCGGCUUAAUGCGUAGAGAUCU
RNAcentral lists this ribosomal RNA (364 nucleotides) under uncultured Serratia sp. Its description in RNAcentral is "bacterial SSU rRNA". It matches the Rfam family "Bacterial small subunit ribosomal RNA", at positions 343 to 699 of the family's 1533-position model. Lineage: Bacteria; Pseudomonadati; Pseudomonadota; Gammaproteobacteria; Enterobacterales; Yersiniaceae. The record is from RNAcentral.